Molecule: ribosomal RNA, 838 nt
Filed under: uncultured archaeon
Lineage: Archaea
Description: bacterial SSU rRNA
Rfam family: Archaeal small subunit ribosomal RNA
Source: RNAcentral
AGGUUACUGCUAUCGGUGUUCGCCUAAGCCAUGCGAGUCAUAUGUUCGUAAGAACAUGGCGUACUGCUCAGUAACACGUGGAUAACCUGCCCUUGGGUCCGGCAUAACCCCGGGAAACUGGGGAUAAUUCCGGAUAACGCACAUAUGCUGGAAUGCUUUUUGCGUAAAAUGGAUUCGUCUGCCCAAGGAUGGGUCUGCGGCCUAUCAGGUAGUAGUGGGUGUAAUGUACCUACUAGCCUACGACGGGUACGGGUUGUGAGAGCAAGAGCCCGGAGAUGGAUUCUGAGACAUGAAACCAGGCCCUACGGGGCGCAGCAGGCGCGAAAACUUUACAAUGCGGGAAACCGUGAUAAGGGGACACCGAGUGCCAGCAUCAUAUGUUGGCUGUCCGGGUGUGUAGAAUACACCUGUUAGCAAGGGCCGGGCAAGACCGGUGCCAGCCGCCGCGGUAACACCGGCGGCCCGAGUGGUGAUCGUGAUUAUUGGGUCUAAAGGGUCCGUAGCCGGUUUGGUCAGUCCUCCGGGAAAUCUGACGGCUUAACCGUUAGGCUUUCGGGGGAUACUGCCAGACUUGGAACCGGGAGAGGUAAGAGGUACUACAGGGGUAGGAGUGAAAUCUUGUAAUCCCUGUGGGACCACCUGUGGCGAAGGCGUCUUACCAGAACGGGUUCGACGGUGAGGGACGAAAGCUGGGGGCACGAACCGGAUUAGAUACCCGGGUAGUCCCAGCCGUAAACGAUGCUCGCUAGGUGUCAGGCAUGGCGCGACCGUGUCUGGUGCCGCAGGGAAGCCGUGAAGCGAGCCACCUGGGAAGUACGGCCGCAAGGCUGAAACUUAA